CGGGGCUUAAAGUCUUGUAAUUGGAAUGAUGGGAAUUUAAACCUCUUCCAGAGUAUCAAUUGGAGGGCAAGUCUGGUGCCAGCAGCCGCGGUAAUUCCAGCUCCAAUAGCGUAUAUUAAAAUUGUUGCAGUUAAAAAGCUCGUAGUUGAAUUUCUGCUGCAUUGCUUGUGUCCCUCUGAGGUCUGUGCAUGUGGCUUUUUUCGGACGGAGUUUCUUUGUCUGAAUGUUUACUUUGAGAAAAUUAGAGUGCUCAAAGCAGGCUUUCGCCUUGAAUAGUUUAGCAUGGAAUAAUAAAGUAGGACUUUGGUUCUAUUUUGUUGGUUUUAGGUACCAAAGUAAUGGUUAAUAGGAACAGUUGGGGGCAUUCGUAUUUAACUGUCAGAGGUGAAAUUCUUAGAUUUGUUAAAGACGAACUACUGCGAAAGCAUUUGCCAAGGAUGUUUUCAUUAAUCAAGAAC
This 458-nucleotide ribosomal RNA is filed under the name Theileria annulata. RNAcentral describes it as "SSU rRNA". It matches the Rfam family "Eukaryotic small subunit ribosomal RNA", at positions 486 to 984 of the family's 1831-position model. The record is from RNAcentral. Lineage: Eukaryota; Apicomplexa; Aconoidasida; Piroplasmida; Theileriidae.